This 468-nucleotide ribosomal RNA is filed under the name uncultured bacterium. RNAcentral describes it as "partial 16S ribosomal RNA". It matches the Rfam family "Bacterial small subunit ribosomal RNA", at positions 28 to 507 of the family's 1533-position model. The record is from RNAcentral.
GACGAACGCUGGCGGCGUGCUUAACACAUGCAAGUCGAACGGAAAGGCCCUGCUUUUGUGGGGUGCUCGAGUGGCGAACGGGUGAGUAACACGUGAGUAACCUGCCCUUGACUUUGGGAUAACUUCAGGAAACUGGGGCUAAUGCCGGAUAGGAGCUCCUGCUGCAUGGUGGGGGUUGGAAAGUUUCGGCGGUUGGGGAUGGACUCGCGGCUUAUCAGCUUGUUGGUGGGGUAGUGGCUUACCAAGGCUUUGACGGGUAGCCGGCCUGAGAGAGUGACCGGCCACAUUGGGACUGAGAUACGGCCCAGACUCCUACGGGAGGCAGCAGUGGGGAAUAUUGCACAAUGGGCGGAAGCCUGAUGCAGCAACGCCGCGUGCGGGAUGACGGCCUUCGGGUUGUAAACCGCUUUCGCCUGUGACGAAGCGUGAGUGACGGUAAUGGGUAAAGAAGCACCGGCUAACUACGUG